AUGAACUUGUUCUCCUCCAGGGGCCAGGAGGUCUGCUUAUAUAGUCCCCUCAAGUGAAUCUGGGCCGUCGGAUCAAACCAACAUUGAUUGAACGGUUAUCCUUGAUCCUUGAGGUCGGUGGAGCGUAAUCCACGAAACGGGUCCUGUUUGGACUCAGGGACAGGGCGGGCGCCCUAGGGGGAGGGCGGGCGCCCUGCCCUCAGGCCUGUUCGCCUUCCCGUUCGUUCCCGUGGCUUCUGGAGUCUUUUAGAUGACAGAAAAUUGCGCGACAUGUUAAUAUCUCUAUGUAAACCCGACGUGUGGGCCUUUCUUCCGUAUUUCCUGAUAACCCCCUGCAGAAAUAGACAAACACCAAAACUCGUGGAAUUCUGUCAGAUAAAACCCUAAGUUUGGGUGUUGGUUGCAUUUGGAUCCAUUUCUUUAUUUGUUUGAUGAUUAUAUUUGGUACUUAAGGACCGUCAACAACUCUCCCAAGCUUACCUCUUACUCGUCCCAGAGCAAGGAUGAACUCAAGAGUUUAUGCAGUGGUUUCAUGCCUUAAAAGUAAGAUCUCAUCUCUGUGUUAGAGUAAACUGUUAAGACUUAAAAUUUACUCAUUUUACCUUUCACCAUGGGGCUUGUAACCGUCACUUGUGUCUUGAGCAGUUAAAAGAUAGAACGGUCAAGUUAAGCGCCAUGUCUCUUGUUCUUUGAUUAACUAUAGCUCUGGAGUUUUUGCAGAUUGUCAAAUAAAACUCAGAGAUUCCUUAUAUGACUCUCUCGGAUCUCUCUUUUGUGGUAUUUCUAGAUCCUUACCAAGGCAGUAAUGGUAUAUGCCUUCUCUCAAAGUAUGUGGUAACUUUGAUAUAAGACAUAGUGAUAUUGCCUUCUCUCUCACCCUACUCUAAUAAAGUUUUGAUAUCUAGAGCUCAUAGGUGGGAGACAGCUAAUACAUACUUACAAGACAUUUAUUGCAUAGUCAAACCAUGGAUCCAGAGAAACAAGUCAAUAAGUCAAAUCAAGAUGUGCAUGUGUGGCGAGUGAAUGGUGUAUGGUGAUGAUGGUGAUAAUUCUACUUUUGCUCUUUUUAACGGGAUACGUACCUUCCUUGAUCUUUUGAAACUUUUUGAGGAGAAUGAGAUGCUCUAUAUUUUCUUUUUCUUUCCUCUCAGGUGGGUAUCUUGUACCCCUAAUUCUACUGUCGGACACUUAUCCAUUUUUACCUCUCGUCUCACUCUUUCUUUUCUUCGAGGUUCCGGGCACUUGCCCCUUUUUAUUUCCACGUAUCUCUUUUUUUCUCUUUCUCUUUUUUUAGAGCACUCAUCUCUUGAAAUAAUGUAGCAAGUGGUAGUAACCAAGAUAACUUGAGCAUUUAUUUCACAGGGGAAAAUAGAAAUGUUUUUGGCCAUUCUCUCCCGGAUUAGGAGUAGAAUGUUUUUGGGUGGUUCUGGAGAUGGAAAUGGGUGGAUAUAUGUGGAUGGUACUUCCGGAGUGGAAGCAGCAUAUAUGAGUGAAUGUGCAAGUGAAUCUUGAUUUUAACCACAUGACAAGCUCCUAAGGGUCUACACAGCUUGACCACACUCAAUGCUCAUAAGCAGUAAAAAGUAAAUGUGUGGCUCAAAGUCUAGCAAGCAUGUAUACAUGGCUGUGGUAGGAAUUUAAACUCUCAUCAUAUAGGAACUCAUCAUGUGUUAUUUAAAGAUUUUCAAAGAUAAAAUUCUCUAGAAUUCUAGCAUCUCUAGGAACAGAUAAACAACAGCUCAACCUUCCCAUAUCAUAUCCAUUAAUGACUUAGACUUUAGAUCAAGUACUCUUCCCACAAGUUCAGGUUUAGAGCAGGUUUAAAUUAUAAUAGUUAUGCCUAAACUUGAGAGAGAUUUCCAUGUGAGAGCUUAUCAUAAGGGUUCAUAGCAAACUUUAUUUAUUUAUUUAUUUAUUUAUUUAGCAAACUAAGCAAAGAUAUAUAUAAAAGCACAAAAUCUUUAUUUGGGUUUUUUAUGAUUAUGCAUCUUUUUAUUAUUUGAGUAAAGUAUAAAUGCGAGUAGAAACACUUAGCUGGAUAAAUGGAGGUGCUCUCCCCAAGCUGGAUUUUGACGUAAUUUCUUCUGAUGUAGCUAGCAAGUGGCGGAGGUGUAUAUGAAUGUUGGUAGAACCCUGACAACAAUUAGGAUGUCCUCUGUCUGCUAGCCUUCUUUGAUCCUUGAAUUCUGUGGAGCUUAAAUAGACAACAAAGCUUUGUGGAACUAGUUAAGUGUUAGCAUAAAUAUCUAGCCUUUAUCAAGUUGAGCCUCCUCAAUAAAUGUUAUUUAUUUAGCAGGAUCAUGCACUUAUUAUUUUUAUAUUUUUAUUGUAAGAUGAAAACAUAUUUAUUUUAUGCCACCACAGUGAAUGUACCUAUGGGUUUUAUGCCAUGAGGAUACUCACAUGGGGCUUACUAUUUUUGACAUUUUUAUUUUCUUUUUGAGAUGAUAUGAACCUGAUUAACUAAGCAAACUAUUUUAAAUAGUUGAAAGGAAAAAGGAUAACUACCAAGUUUACCUCUUGGCAAGGCGUUCGGUGUUUUUAAGUCCUCCGAACGGGACUCCCCAUCUUCUCAGUCGUCCUGGGAUUCGCUGGAUGGCGUAGUCGGUGGUUCCGGCGACUAUAACUAUCUUCUCUUUCCACAUCUGACUCGGUGCUACGGUCUCCUCAAGACGGUUCUGUUCAAGCCGCAUGUCUUCACACCUUACCACAUCUCCUUCGUAGUCUACCCAUCCGUCCUUGAUGAUUUGCCUCCUCUGGUUUCGGUUGUGUCGCCUUCUUCAAAGGGAAGUGCAUGUGGACUUCUCCGGUUCCAAUAC
This 2819-nucleotide long non-coding RNA is filed under the name Sorghum bicolor (sorghum). Its description in RNAcentral is "long non-coding RNA (SBIC_LNC008325)". Lineage: Eukaryota; Viridiplantae; Streptophyta; Magnoliopsida; Poales; Poaceae. The record is from RNAcentral.